CAGCCACAUCAUGCUUAAACACCAAUUCCCGUAGGAUCACCAACAUUAAGCAACAUCAGGUCUGGUCAGUACCUAGAUGGGUGACUGCUUGGGAAUACCAGGUGCUGUAAG
Molecule: non-coding RNA, 111 nt
Organism: Acanthosepion pharaonis
Lineage: Eukaryota; Metazoa; Mollusca; Cephalopoda; Sepiida; Sepiidae
Source: the annotation of a GenBank genome assembly